GACGAACGCUGGCGGCGUGCUUAACACAUGCAAGUCGAACGGUGAAGCGCCUUCCUUUUUGGUGGGUGUGGAUGAGUGGCGAACGGGUGAGUAACACGUGAGUAACCUGCCCCCUUCUUCUGGAUAACCGCGUGAAAGUGUGGCUAAUACGGGAUAUUCUGGGUCUGUCGCAUGAUGGGUCUGGGAAAGAUAUUGUUUCGGUGGGGGAUGGGCUCGCGGCCUAUCAGCUUGUUGGUGGGGUGAUGGCCUACCAAGGCGGUGACGGGUAGCCGGCCUGAGAGGGUGGACGGUCACACUGGGACUGAGACACGGCCCAGACUCCUACGGGAGGCAGCAGUGGGGAAUAUUGCACAAUGGGCGCAAGCCUGAUGCAGCGACGCCGCGUGAGGGAUGGAGGCCUUCGGGUUGUGAACCUCUUUCGCCAGUGAAGCAGGCCUGCCUCGUUUGUGGGUGGGUUGACGGUAGCUGGAUAAGAAGCGCCGGCUAACUACGU
This 493-nucleotide ribosomal RNA is filed under the name uncultured bacterium. RNAcentral's name for it is "partial 16S ribosomal RNA". It matches the Rfam family "Bacterial small subunit ribosomal RNA", at positions 28 to 506 of the family's 1533-position model. The record is from RNAcentral.